RNAcentral lists this ribosomal RNA (253 nucleotides) under uncultured bacterium. RNAcentral describes it as "partial 16S ribosomal RNA". It matches the Rfam family "Bacterial small subunit ribosomal RNA", at positions 524 to 776 of the family's 1533-position model. The record is from RNAcentral. RNAcentral also lists the same sequence under 1 other name.
UACGUAGGGGGCAAGCGUUGUCCGGAAUCAUUGGGCGUAAAGCGCGUGUAGGCGGCUCGAUAAGUCUGCUGUGAAAGUCCAGGGCUCAACCCUGGGAUGCCGGUGGAUACUGUCGAGCUCGAGUCCGGAAGAGGAGUGUGGAAUUCCUGGUGUAGCGGUGAAAUGCGCAGAUAUCAGGAGGAACACCGAUAGCGAAGGCAGCACUCUGGUACGUGACUGACGCUGAGACGCGAAAGCGUGGGGAGCAAACAGG